Molecule: unclassified non-coding RNA, 214 nt
Filed under: Hevea brasiliensis (rubber tree)
Lineage: Eukaryota; Viridiplantae; Streptophyta; Magnoliopsida; Malpighiales; Euphorbiaceae
Source: RNAcentral
GUUGAUAUUAAAUUUUUGGGAUAAAAGUAAAUUUUUGAGGUAAAGGUUUAGCUGAGUUAAGUUGAAAUUAAAUUUUAGUAAUUUUGAUUUUUUAAAUGUGAAUGAAUAAGAAAAAAAUUGAUAAAAAAGAAUUGAAUUGAAUUAUUAGACUCUUCAAAUAUAUUUAAUCUCUAUUUGGAUAUUAGAAUUAAAAAUAUAACUUAAUGGAUGAAGG